RNAcentral lists this ribosomal RNA (253 nucleotides) under uncultured bacterium. Its description in RNAcentral is "partial 16S ribosomal RNA". It matches the Rfam family "Bacterial small subunit ribosomal RNA", at positions 524 to 776 of the family's 1533-position model. The record is from RNAcentral.
UACGUAGGGGGCUAGCGUUGUCCGGAAUCAUUGGGCGUAAAGAGCGUGUAGGCGGCCCGGUAAGUCCGCUGUGAAAGUCGGGGGCUCAACCCUCGGAUGCCGGUGGAUACUGUCGGGCUCGAGUACGGAAGAGGCGAGUGGAAUUCCUGGUGUAGCGGUGAAAUGCGCAGAUAUCAGGAGGAACACCAAUAGCGAAGGCAGCUCGCUGGGACGUUACUGACACUGAGGCGCGAAAGCGUGGGGAGCGAACAGG